GGUUAAGCGACUAAGCGUACACGGUGGAUGCCCUGGCAGUCAGAGGCGAUGAAGGACGUGCUAAUCUGCGAUAAGCGUCGGUAAGGUGAUAUGAACCGUUAUAACCGGCGAUUUCCGAAUGGGGAAACCCAGUGUGUUUCGACACACUAUCAUUAACUGAAUCCAUAGGUUAAUGAGGCGAACCGGGGGAACUGAAACAUCUAAGUACCCCGAGGAAAAGAAAUCAACCGAGAUUCCCCCAGUAGCGGCGAGCGAACGGGGAGCAGCCCAGAGCCUGAAUCAGUGUGUGUGUUAGUGGAAGCGUCUGGAAAGGCGUGCGAUACAGGGUGACAGCCCCGUACACAAAAAUGCACAUGCUGUGAGCUCGAUGAGUAGGGCGGGACACGUGGUAUCCUGUCUGAAUAUGGGGGGACCAUCCUCCAAGGCUAAAUACUCCUGACUGACCGAUAGUGAACCAGUACCGUGAGGGAAAGGCGAAAAGAACCCCGGCGAGGGGAGUGAAAAAGAACCUGAAACCGUGUACGUACAAGCAGUGGGAGCACGCUUAGGCGUGUGACUGCGUACCUUUUGUAUAAUGGGUCAGCGACUUAUAUUCUGUAGCAAGGUUAACCGAAUAGGGGAGCCGAAGGGAAACCGAGUCUUAACUGGGCGUUAAGUUGCAGGGUAUAGACCCGAAACCCGGUGAUCUAGCCAUGGGCAGGUUGAAGGUUGGGUAACACUAACUGGAGGACCGAACCGACUAAUGUUGAAAAAUUAGCGGAUGACUUGUGGCUGGGGGUGAAAGGCCAAUCAAACCGGGAGAUAGCUGGUUCUCCCCGAAAGCUAUUUAGGUAGCGCCUCGUGAAUUCAUCUCCGGGGGUAGAGCACUGUUUCGGCAAGGGGGUCAUCCCGACUUACCAACCCGAUGCAAACUGCGAAUACCGGAGAAUGUUAUCACGGGAGACACACGGCGGGUGCUAACGUCCGUCGUGAAGAGGGAAACAACCCAGACCGCCAGCUAAGGUCCCAAAGUCAUGGUUAAGUGGGAAACGAUGUGGGAAGGCCCAGACAGCCAGGAUGUUGGCUUAGAAGCAGCCAUCAUUUAAAGAAAGCGUAAUAGCUCACUGGUCGAGUCGGCCUGCGCGGAAGAUGUAACGGGGCUAAACCAUGCACCGAAGCUGCGGCAGCGACGCUUAUGCGUUGUUGGGUAGGGGAGCGUUCUGUAAGCCUGCGAAGGUGUGCUGUGAGGCAUGCUGGAGGUAUCAGAAGUGCGAAUGCUGACAUAAGUAACGAUAAAGCGGGUGAAAAGCCCGCUCGCCGGAAGACCAAGGGUUCCUGUCCAACGUUAAUCGGGGCAGGGUGAGUCGACCCCUAAGGCGAGGCCGAAAGGCGUAGUCGAUGGGAAACAGGUUAAUAUUCCUGUACUUGGUGUUACUGCGAAGGGGGGACGGAGAAGGCUAUGUUGGCCGGGCGACGGUUGUCCCGGUUUAAGCGUGUAGGCUGGUUUUCCAGGCAAAUCCGGAAAAUCAAGGCUGAGGCGUGAUGACGAGGCACUACGGUGCUGAAGCAACAAAUGCCCUGCUUCCAGGAAAAGCCUCUAAGCAUCAGGUAACAUCAAAUCGUACCCCAAACCGACACAGGUGGUCAGGUAGAGAAUACCAAGGCGCUUGAGAGAACUCGGGUGAAGGAACUAGGCAAAAUGGUGCCGUAACUUCGGGAGAAGGCACGCUGAUAUGUAGGUGAAGCGACUUGCUCGUGGAGCUGAAAUCAGUCGAAGAUACCAGCUGGCUGCAACUGUUUAUUAAAAACACAGCACUGUGCAAACACGAAAGUGGACGUAUACGGUGUGACGCCUGCCCGGUGCCGGAAGGUUAAUUGAUGGGGUUAGCGCAAGCGAAGCUCUUGAUCGAAGCCCCGGUAAACGGCGGCCGUAACUAUAACGGUCCUAAGGUAGCGAAAUUCCUUGUCGGGUAAGUUCCGACCUGCACGAAUGGCGUAAUGAUGGCCAGGCUGUCUCCACCCGAGACUCAGUGAAAUUGAACUCGCUGUGAAGAUGCAGUGUACCCGCGGCAAGACGGAAAGACCCCGUGAACCUUUACUAUAGCUUGACACUGAACAUUGAGCCUUGAUGUGUAGGAUAGGUGGGAGGCUUUGAAGUGUGGACGCCAGUCUGCAUGGAGCCGACCUUGAAAUACCACCCUUUAAUGUUUGAUGUUCUAACGUUGACCCGUAAUCCGGGUUGCGGACAGUGUCUGGUGGGUAGUUUGACUGGGGCGGUCUCCUCCUAAAGAGUAACGGAGGAGCACGAAGGUUGGCUAAUCCUGGUCGGACAUCAGGAGGUUAGUGCAAUGGCAUAAGCCAGCUUGACUGCGAGCGUGACGGCGCGAGCAGGUGCGAAAGCAGGUCAUAGUGAUCCGGUGGUUCUGAAUGGAAGGGCCAUCGCUCAACGGAUAAAAGGUACUCCGGGGAUAACAGGCUGAUACCGCCCAAGAGUUCAUAUCGACGGCGGUGUUUGGCACCUCGAUGUCGGCUCAUCACAUCCUGGGGCUGAAGUAGGUCCCAAGGGUAUGGCUGUUCGCCAUUUAAAGUGGUACGCGAGCUGGGUUUAGAACGUCGUGAGACAGUUCGGUCCCUAUCUGCCGUGGGCGCUGGAGAACUGAGGGGGGCUGCUCCUAGUACGAGAGGACCGGAGUGGACGCAUCACUGGUGUUCGGGUUGUCAUGCCAAUGGCACUGCCCGGUAGCUAAAUGCGGAAGAGAUAAGUGCUGAAAGCAUCUAAGCACGAAACUUGCCCCGAGAUGAGUUCUCCCUGACUCCUUGAGAGUCCUGAAGGAACGUUGAAGACGACGACGUUGAUAGGCCGGGUGUGUAAGCGCAGCGAUGCGUUGAGCUAACCGGUACUAAUGAACCGUGAGGCUUAACCUU
RNAcentral lists this ribosomal RNA (2904 nucleotides) under Escherichia coli. RNAcentral describes it as "23S ribosomal RNA". It matches the Rfam family "Bacterial large subunit ribosomal RNA". The record is from RNAcentral. Lineage: Bacteria; Pseudomonadati; Pseudomonadota; Gammaproteobacteria; Enterobacterales; Enterobacteriaceae.